GUCUCUCCAAGCCCAGGAGCAGCGAUUAGCAGUGGGAGAGGCACAGGAACGCCGGCUCUUACAAAUGUGCCUGUGAGAGGUUUGAGGGUCAUACUCAGCCUUGGCAUCAGAGCGCCUAUCUCCCACUGGCCUGAAUGCAACGGGGCCGAGUGCAUUGAUGAGCCUGAUUCUCCCCUCCCAUGCGCUGAUGUAAGUCAGGAGGAACUCCAAAGCCAUCAACAGGGUUACACCAGAGACUGUCCAGUUUGACCAAUGUACAUGGCAGAGGGGCAUUGCUGGCACAUGAUGGCAUAUAUCACAUUGGUGGAUCUGCAGGUGAACGAGCCUCUGAUAUAAUAUAAAUAUAAACCUGUCAUAAUGUAGCUGGUUUUGUGAUUAAGGCACUGGGCUGGGACCAGCAAAUCCAGCUCAAUUUGUGGCUCUGUCUCGGGCCCUGGGUAAGUCACUCGGGCCCAGAUCCUCCAAGGUAUUUAGGCUCCUGAUGUCCAUCAAUUUCAGUAGCCGUUACGAGUCCCUCUCUGUGUGUCAGCUUACAGGAGAGAAUCUUCCCAUUCUCCCACUCCUCAGCUGUUGUGUCUUUGAGUCGACACUACAUCUGUACAGCAUCCAGCACAAUGGGGCCGCAAACUCCAUCAGGCCCUCUAGGUGCUACUGUAAUGCAAAUCAUGUAUCUUCUUCACACCCCUGCAAUGCAGGACAGCACAUCCCCAUUGUACAGGUGGGAAACUGAGGCACAGGGAGACUGAGUGACUUGCCCAGGGUCACAGAGCCAUGUGGCAGGGAUGGAAGCCAACUCCCCCAGAACACACAUACUGCUCAGAGAGACUCCUGUCACUCCUACCUGUUUCCAUAUGGCCAUUCUCAUUGAGUGCAUAGCGUGUGCCCAGCUCCUGCACAGAGAAAACACAUGGUUCAAGUGAAAAUGCCUUGCAAUCCACUGUCAGCUUCCUCCCAAGAGAGGCCUGGCAAGACUUCCAUAGGCGGCAAGAUGGCAACGAUCAGGAUAUUGCAGAGAUGAGUGGGUCUGAGUGAAGGCAGAAUACAAGGUGGCACACAGGAAGUUACAUGGGCGGAGCAGCUCGGAUCCCAUCCAGUAGGGGGCAGUGGCGCAUCCCCCCAGCCAGUUCCUGGUACAAUAUCUGAUAAUAGGGGGGACUGGAACACUUGGGGGCCUUAGGCCGAACUUGCACUGCCCUGUCAGUGGAAAGAUGGAACAAGUCUUUAGGAAAGACACUGAGGAUGGGGGUCCCUAUGAACUCAGUACUGUGGGGUUUCACAGGUCAGACGGGGCCAUUAUGACUAUCUAGUCGGACACCGGGGAAAGGCCCGCACCCAGUGAUUUCUGCAUCAAGCCCAGCCCUUCUGUUGGAGCUAUAGCCCAACAAAUAGAAAGACAUCCAGCUGGGAUUUAAGGCCCCCGAGUGAUGGGGAACCCACCACGUCACUAGGGUAGGUUGCGACAACAGUUAGCCUCAUCAUUUACAAAACGUACACCUUAUGUCUAGACGGCAUUCGUCUAGCUUCAGCUGCCAACCGCGGGGGUCUCAUUCUACUAGAUUAGAGCCCUCUGCUAUCAGAAACCUCUUCCCCAGGAAGGCCUUGUAGGGUUUUGUACAGUUAACUAGGACCUAUUGGUCAGAGAAAUCUGGUCAUCAGUUGAAAUCCCCUUUUUUCUUUUAAGUCUAAUAAAAAUAGGUCUGGUCUAGUCUCAGUCCGGUUGCUAGGACACCGGUGUCCACAUUUCCAAAGCACCAUCACCCCGGCACAGAUCGGCCACCUCACUGCCAGUCUCAGCAGAGAGGCGGCGCAUUGAUGGGCCAUGGAGACAACACUGUCCUCACCUUGGUGGGGCGGGGUCCCUCCGGCACAACUUGCCCUGCUAACGCCUGAGCUGUAGCCAGCAGCGCUCACUCGCUGGGGCCGUCACGCUCGCACUGAAGAGGGGACAAACCGCCGUUGCUGGGAUUAUAAAACACUAAGUCCAUGUGGCUGAUUACAGAGCGUGGGUGUAUGGGGAGAGAGGGAGCGGCCACAAAGAUUCUGCAGUCCGGACAAGCAGGGAGAGAGGCAUCACCUCUGAAACACCAGUGAGUGGAGCGGCCAAGGUAGGGCAAUUGCAUGAUGACUGGUGUAUUAGCCACGCAGAUGAUGUGCAUCUCACAGCUGUGGCUAGGGGUGAACAUGCAGGAGCGGGUGACGCUCAGCCAUAGUCUGCUCCGCUGCAAUCUCUACACCCCAGGAGGGACCGGACCAAGUUCCGGCAGAGCAACUCCACUCGCUCCAGCAGAGUUAUUCCGGGUUUACACGGGUGUGACGGAGAAGAGUCUGGCCCGCUCUGUAUACUGGUGUCUGCCUAAGGCCCAUGAGUAAGAGCCAUCUCUCUCCAGCGGCUGUUCUCCGGCAGGAAAUCAUCAUCAUCCCCGGUGACCAGCCAGGAGAAGAGUCACCAGCCGGCCCCCAGUCCCUGCUCUGAUGGACACUGGGUAAAACCAAAAGCAGCUCCAUUGCAGACUAUGGGGUUAUCUGGAUUUACACAGAGAGGCAUGAGAGAAGAAUUUGGCCCCCUGUCUCCAGUCCCUUGUUGAAGCUGUUUUGCAUAGUAACUUGCAAUCAGGUCGUCUUCGAAGACCAGCAGCACGCUGCAGGCCCCUGCUCUCUUUUACUGGGGCAGUCUGGUGCAGCGGCUCAGCAUGCGAGGCUGCAACUGCCAUGUACUGCAGGUUUUCACAUAUUCCAAAAUCUGUCCUCACCUUGUCCUGUGUCUUUGAAAAAGCAGAAUCAUGCUUUUUCCACACUGCCCCACUUUCCCAGGGCCUUACCGAUCCUUUCGGACUAUUCACCUUGAGGCCUCUGUUCUUCAUCAAGAAUCUGUCUCUGUAAAAAUUCUCCCUGCUUUGCCAAAGCAGAUGCUCAACUGUUUCUUUACCUUCGCACAACCCAACUUUGUGCACGUUGAGCAGAACUAAAUGACCAUUCCGCUCAGGGAGCGCUUCGCACUCUCCAGGUAGUUACUGUGCGGCCAUAGCUGUGAAGGAUAACUGCAUCCUCAAGGUUCGGGCACAUUUCAUAGACCCUUCCUCCUUUUUCCUCUUUGCGCCAUAGUUCUUGCUGUGCCUUUGCGAGUUCUCCCUUAACCACACUUUUGCAUUCCUGUUGAGGCAGAGCUUGUCUACGCAUACAGCACUGCAGGCUUAGGAGGAGACACGACCUCACUGACGGGGAGAUUCUCCCAUUGGUGUAGGUACUCCACUUCCUCGAGAGGCAGUAGCUAUAUUGACAGGAGAAGCACCCCCUUCAGGGGGGCCAGAACUGGGGAGGGGGGCAUGGCCUCCCCCACUUUUAAAAGUGGGAGGGCCAUGCCCACCCACUUUUUAACAUGGGUGUUUGGGGGUCAAGGAGCCACAUUGUUCCCCCCCAAUCUGCAAGCCUUGGGCAGGUGCAGCCCCUGCUGGCAGCGCCAGCCUCUUCCUCGUGGGAGGGCUAGGGUGGCCCUUAGCCCCCCUCAC
This is a non-coding RNA of Caretta caretta (loggerhead turtle), 3506 nucleotides long. The record is from RefSeq and is a predicted model, not a curated record. NCBI's taxonomy places the organism in Eukaryota, Metazoa, Chordata, Testudines, Cheloniidae.